AUGGUGGCUGCUGGGCUGGCAAUUGUUUACUGUAUGAGUUGCAAAUUUUCUCACUUUGUCAUUGAUCUCAAGGACCUGAGCCUCAUGGAUAAGUUCCGUUGUCAUCGAACCAUGGCGUACCCUUUCCAAAUGCCAUGGCCACCUGCUGCGUUGGUGCCUACUUCUCCGUGUGAUCGACCCACCACACCCCAAACAUAUGCUUGCGGAGAUGCUCAAAAUCAACACGAAGCACCCUCUUCUAGUAGGAAGCGCAAGAGCAAUGAUGAAGUGGAGCCAUGUAUUCUCGUAGCUUCUUUGAAGAAGGAAUUUGUCGGAUAA
Molecule: ribosomal RNA, 318 nt
Filed under: Triticum aestivum (bread wheat)
Lineage: Eukaryota; Viridiplantae; Streptophyta; Magnoliopsida; Poales; Poaceae
Description: partial small subunit ribosomal RNA
Source: RNAcentral